Molecule: ribosomal RNA, 250 nt
Filed under: uncultured prokaryote
Description: partial 16S ribosomal RNA
Rfam family: Bacterial small subunit ribosomal RNA
Source: RNAcentral
UACGUAGGUGGCAAGCGUUAUCCGGAUUUACUGGGUGUAAAGGGCGCGUAGGCGGGAUUGCAAGUCAGAUACGAAAACUAUGGGCUUAACCCAUAGCCUGCAUUUGAAACUGUAGUUCUUGAGUGAUGGAGAGGCAAGUGGAAUUCCUAGUGUAGCGGUGAAAUGCGUAGAUAUUAGGAGGAACACCAGUGGCGAAGGCGACUUGCUGGACAUUAACUGACGCUGAAGCGCGAAAGCGUGGGGAGCAAAC